This 273-nucleotide ribosomal RNA is filed under the name uncultured bacterium. RNAcentral's name for it is "partial 16S ribosomal RNA". It matches the Rfam family "Bacterial small subunit ribosomal RNA", at positions 29 to 292 of the family's 1533-position model. The record is from RNAcentral.
AACGAACGCUGGCGGCGCGCUUAACACAUGCAAGUCGAACGAGAAGGCGUAGCAAUACGCUUGUACAGUGGCGAACGGGUGAGUAAUACGUGGGCGACCUACCCUCGAGUGGGGGAAUAACCCGCCGAAAGGCGGGCUAAUGCCGCGUACGCUUCCAUCUUUAUGGAGGUGGAAGGAAAGCCGUGCCGUGGGCACGGCGCUCAAGGAUGGGCUCACGUCCUAUCAGCUUGUUGGUAGGGAACGGCCUACCAAGGCUCCGACGGGUAGCUGGUC